GGGAACGUACCCUUCGGUUCGGAAUAACUCAGGGAAACUUGAGCUAAUACCGGAUACGCCCUUUUGGAGAAAGGUUUACUGCCGAAGGAUCGGCCCGCGUCUGAUUAGCUUGUUGGUGGGGUAACGGCCUACCAAGGCGACGAUCAGUAGCUGGUCUGAGAGGAUGAUCAGCCACACUGGGACUGAGACACGGCCCAGACUCCUACGGGAGGCAGCAGUGGGGAAUAUUGGACAAUGGGCGCAAGCCUGAUCCAGCCAUGCCGCGUGAGUGAUGAAGGCCUUAGGGUUGUAAAGCUCUUUUGUCCGGGACGAUAAUGACGGUACCGGAAGAAUAAGCCCCGGCUAACUUCGUGCCAGCAGCCGCGGUAAUACGAAGGGGGCUAGCGUUGCUCGGAAUCACUGGGCGUAAAGGGCGCGUAGGCGGCCGAUUAAGUCGGGGGUGAAAGCCUGUGGCUCAACCACAGAAUUGCCUUCGAUACUGGUUGGCUUGAGACCGGAAGAGGACAGCGGAACUGCGAGU
Molecule: ribosomal RNA, 520 nt
Filed under: uncultured bacterium
Lineage: Bacteria
Description: bacterial SSU rRNA
Rfam family: Bacterial small subunit ribosomal RNA
Source: RNAcentral